AAUCAAAUAAAGUAUCUUGAAUCAAAAAGAUAAAUCAAAAUAUCACUCAUAUUCCAACUCGGCAGAUCGGAUUCCGUUUAAUAAGAUCGAGAUCCACCUGCGACAAAAUAAUGACACAUGGAUUGAAUAUAUAUAUUUCCAAUAGAACAAAGAAAUGUUUACACAAAGUUUUCUUGAUAAGUGAAGAUUUUGUGCAUACCUUGUAUAUACAAAGAAAGACCGUAUGUUUUUUCUAGCCUCUCGUCGAAAGCAAUAUUGAAAAUCUCCUAGAGUGAAUCCGAGUACUUGAUGUUGUAUACCUGAACAACCCACGAUCUAAGAUGAACACUCAAUACAUAAAUUUUACCUUGUAUUAUACCCACGGCCGAAGAUAGUUUGUGGGCUUCUAGAACCGUCGAACGGAGAUGGUUUCUCACAUAGUUGGGAUAAUAAAUGGCUUGGAAUGUGUUCCACAAUUGAUUGCAUCGAUAGUUGAGCCGUUACUCACAUAUGUUGUUUGAAGUCAGAAAGUGGGACCACCGGUCACAGUACAUACAUAUUUUCAGAGUCACCAAAUUUCUUUUCUAACGAAAACCACUAAAACCAGCAAUUCCGUAAAGCAACAAAAAAUACGUCUUUCUUAACAUUUAAUUCCGAUCGGACUUGAUAUAAAAUUUGAAAAAUCUAUUUUCGUUGGACGGAGGGAAUAUUACCUAAUUAUUAUAUGUACUGCAUCUUAAUUA
This 722-nucleotide small RNA is filed under the name Arabidopsis thaliana (thale cress). RNAcentral's name for it is "ATSL238880". Lineage: Eukaryota; Viridiplantae; Streptophyta; Magnoliopsida; Brassicales; Brassicaceae. The record is from RNAcentral.